GUCGUCGCGAGGCGAGGUGGGGAGGAAGCCGGAGGCAAAGCUCGGAGCUGACGAACAGGAACCGGAUAUGAGGCCGGUGCGGUGGGGUAACUGGGCCAUGGACCGGGACGCCCGAUAU
Molecule: non-coding RNA, 118 nt
Organism: Sphingopyxis bauzanensis
Lineage: Bacteria; Pseudomonadati; Pseudomonadota; Alphaproteobacteria; Sphingomonadales; Sphingopyxidaceae
Source: Rfam